CCCUUGCAACAUACUCCAUUGGAUAGCCACUUGGCUGAAGCAAAUGAAGUUGUCAAGCCAUGCUUUGAAACAACCAUGGUAGUGACCUCGUGGACCAUAUGGACCAGCAGGAACCAGCUGCUCUCUCCAUUGGAUAGCCACUUGGCUGAAGCAAGUGAAGUCAUUAAGCGAAGUCAACCCAUGCUUUGAAACAAUCAUGGUAGUGACCCCAUAGACCAUAUGGACCUGCAAGAACCAGAUGCUCCUUGAAGAGCUUGGAAUCAAGAGGACUACUCACUACUCCACAACAAAGGAAGGGAUAAGUUCUGCAGCGUAUCCAUAAAAAAAAACCAGAUUCCUACAAACUAGGAAGUCUUUAUUCUCGCAGCAGGACAGAGGAGAAGGGGAAUGAAAUGAGGCAGCAUAGCAUUCCAGUUGAAGAACAAAGAAGUCAGAAAAAUCAUGGAAGGCUGCCAAACCAGACGAGUCCACAGCAAAAUCUAGGCCACACUCUUAAGCUAGCAAUACAAAAAGGUAUCUUCCAAGCAAAGGGACAAGGCUAUCAAAGAGCAGUGAUCCUAACAAAGCAAAAACCAGUCCAAACUCGCUUGGACAAGGAUACAAUGCUAAAUGAAGUUUUGAAACAAUGGAGGGAAGAAGGAUACAAAUUUGUAAGCUUUGUUGUAGAACCUUAGAUCGUGGGACAUUCAAAUCUAUCUCCCUGAAAUAUUUCUAUUGAGGUAUUAAAAAAAUUUAACGAUUAGGAAUUAAAACCACAACCAAAAGUAUUGCAUGGGAAUAUGAAAUUGUGACAAGCAAUUUCUCUGGAACAGUUUUCCUCCAAACCAUCUCGAAGGUGAACCUUAUCCAGCUGUGUCCAUUAUUAAGCAAAACAUAUGACAAUCAUGAGACUAAAAGUGCAGUUUCUUUGGGAAUCUGACUAUGGCAUCCCACAACAAACAUAGAGUUUUGCAUGAUAUCAUCCUAAUUUGGAAACAAUAUCAAAUCUGACUUUACUAAGCUCUGCACCUUCACUUAUACCACUUCAUGGUCAGUGUGUCACCACCAACACCUCCCUACGGCCACUGUCAGCAGCACUCUCAAGAACAGUGGCCACCGCAUACAUUUAUAGCACCAUUUACCACAAUGGUUCACUAAAUUCCUGUUGCCACUGCCAGCUUGUAGUUUGCAAUUGCUGCCCCCAACAACCCAUCUACUGGCAGCCCUUCAAAUUGUAUACUAUUACUUAUUUUUAAGUAUCAACAGUUAUUGGCA
Quercus robur (English oak) is the source of this 1254-nucleotide long non-coding RNA. RefSeq lists it as uncharacterized. Lineage: Eukaryota; Viridiplantae; Streptophyta; Magnoliopsida; Fagales; Fagaceae. The record is from RefSeq and is a predicted model, not a curated record. The transcript is spliced from 2 exons.